RNAcentral lists this ribosomal RNA (253 nucleotides) under uncultured bacterium. Its description in RNAcentral is "partial 16S ribosomal RNA". It matches the Rfam family "Bacterial small subunit ribosomal RNA", at positions 524 to 776 of the family's 1533-position model. The record is from RNAcentral.
UACGUAGGGGGCUAGCGUUGUCCGGAAUUAUUGGGCGUAAAGAGCUCGUAGGCGGUCUGUCGCGUCUGCUGUGAAAACUCGGGGCUUAACUCCGGGCCUGCAGUGGGUACGGGCAGACUAGAGUGCGGUAGGGGAGACUGGAAUUCCUGGUGUAGCGGUGAAAUGCGCAGAUAUCGGGAGGAACACCCGUAGCGAAGGCGGCACUCUGGGCCGGUACUGACGCUGAGGAGCGAAAGCGUGGGGAGCAAACAGG